AUCAGAUUACAGAAUGAGAGGUUAAGAUUCUUAUUGCAAGAACAAAGAAAGCAACAGCUAGCUUUAUUGAUGAAGAGAAUAGAAUCAAACGCACUGCCUUUAUUGAGGCAAAAGGAUGAAGAAAUAGCUCGAGCAGCUAAAAGAAUUGCAGAGCUUGAAGAUUUCACAAAAAGAUUAGAGAUGGAGAGCCAAGUCUGGCAAAGGUUAGCACAAGAAAACGAAGCCAUGGUUAUUUCUCUCAACAACACAAUAGAACAACUGAG
This 263-nucleotide unclassified non-coding RNA is filed under the name Hevea brasiliensis (rubber tree). The record is from RNAcentral. Lineage: Eukaryota; Viridiplantae; Streptophyta; Magnoliopsida; Malpighiales; Euphorbiaceae.